This is a long non-coding RNA of Sinocyclocheilus grahami, 372 nucleotides long. RefSeq lists it as uncharacterized. Lineage: Eukaryota; Metazoa; Chordata; Actinopteri; Cypriniformes; Cyprinidae. The record is from RefSeq and is a predicted model, not a curated record. The transcript has 3 exons.
CACCAGAACACUGACUCACUGGAGGAAGCGUUAUUAUGGAUUAUAGACUCUAUGUAUUUGAGUCAAAAACGUAAAGUAGAUCUCUCCUGGCUCUAGAUCAAACUCAUCUGAGUGUUUUCUUCCUCUCCAGUGAAUGGAUUUCAUGGCAAUGGCAAUCCGCUGCAUCAGAGUGAGCCGUCGCAUGUACUGAUGCGGAAGACCAGCACAGAUCAUCAGAGUCCCGUCUCGACUUCACCCAGCCGGAAGCAGGAGUGUGAAUCCACAGUAACUGCCGCUGGAACGUGUUAACCAACAGGGUUUUUCAAACUAUUCAGUGCUAAGGACCCGUAAAUAUGACCAUUCCCUUGCAAGGAAACCCUUUCCUAUAAUAUA